UGCCAGCCGCCGCGGUAAUAUGGAGGGGGUUAGCGUUGUUCGGAAUUACUGGGCGUAAAGCGCACGUAGGCGGAUUAGUAAGUUAGAGGUGAAAUCCCAGGGCUCAACCCUGGAACUGCCUUUAAUACUGCUAGUCUUGAGUUCGAGAGAGGUAAGUGGAAUUCCGAGUGUAGAGGUGAAAUGCGUAGAUAUUCGGAGGAACACCAAUUGCGAAGGCAGUUCACUGGACCGUGAUCGACGCUGAGGAGGGAAAGCUAGGGGAGCAAACAGGAUUAGAUA
Molecule: ribosomal RNA, 279 nt
Filed under: uncultured bacterium
Lineage: Bacteria
Description: partial 16S ribosomal RNA
Rfam family: Bacterial small subunit ribosomal RNA
Source: RNAcentral